This is a long non-coding RNA of Phyllostomus discolor (pale spear-nosed bat), 386 nucleotides long. RefSeq lists it as uncharacterized. The transcript has 2 exons. The record is from RefSeq and is a predicted model, not a curated record. NCBI's taxonomy places the organism in Eukaryota, Metazoa, Chordata, Mammalia, Chiroptera, Phyllostomidae.
AUUCCUAUUGUGUAAAAUGUACUUACAGAUUUAUCUAUUUUCCUGUAUGUUCUAUCCGUGUAUGUUCCCCAUCCUAAAAGUAGUUCUGCAUUUAAACCCUUUUAUAAUGUGCCUUAUUUAUUCUUAAUGUUCCCUUCACCUACCUUCGAAAUGCACUCCAAUGGCUGGGGCAUCUGUCUAGCCUUGCUAUUGGGGCAUAUGUUUCAACGCCCUACUCUCAUGUGCCAAUAGAGGAAACUAUAGAAUAGCAGAUACUUGUGAGGUACAAUUUUUAAAAUAAAGGAACAUCUUACAAUACUGUUAUUCUUUGUCAGCUUUGGUUUUAACUUUCGUUACUUUAUUUUUAAGUAAAUGUAGAAAUAUAUAUAAAUUGCCUUUAAAAAUGG